Molecule: ribosomal RNA, 253 nt
Filed under: uncultured bacterium
Lineage: Bacteria
Description: partial 16S ribosomal RNA
Rfam family: Bacterial small subunit ribosomal RNA
Source: RNAcentral
GACGUAGGGGACGAGCGUUGUCCGGAUUCAUUGGGCGUAAAGCGACCGCAGGCGGCCUGACAAGUCGGAUGUGAAAGCCCUGGGCUCAACUCAGGAAUUGCAUUCGAAACUGGCAGGCUCGAGUACGGGAGAGGGGGGUGGAAUUCCUGGUGUAGGGGUGAAAUUCGUUGAUAUCAGGAGGAACACCGGCGGCGAAGGCGGCCCCCUGGCCCGCAACUGACGCUCAUGGUCGAAAGCGUGGGGAGCAAACAGG